Molecule: unclassified non-coding RNA, 359 nt
Filed under: Hevea brasiliensis (rubber tree)
Lineage: Eukaryota; Viridiplantae; Streptophyta; Magnoliopsida; Malpighiales; Euphorbiaceae
Source: RNAcentral
GUUCUAAGUUCCCGCAGAGAUGAAUAUUUCAGUGAUACAAGAUCACUAGAAAUUCACUCUCUCAAUUCUCACAAAGACCAAGGAGGGCUAAAUUUCUUAUACUCCAAACUGAAAAUCCAAUAUUGCUUCUCUUUGUUUGCAGAUAAAGAAAUCACAGACAGCGAGAGUUUGAAUUUAGAAUCUGGGAAACUAGGGCUUCAAAGUGAAUGUGUAUUUUUGAGAGAAAGAGUAAGUGAGUGGAUGAGAGUAUGAAAAAUAGGAAGAAUGGCUGGUAGAUAAUUGGUGUUAACGAGGCUUUCUCUCUAAACCGAUGGAAGAUGAAAGCUCGUCGGUGCAGUUUUUGGUUCCCUUGAAAUCAG